Molecule: ribosomal RNA, 494 nt
Filed under: uncultured bacterium
Lineage: Bacteria
Description: bacterial SSU rRNA
Rfam family: Bacterial small subunit ribosomal RNA
Source: RNAcentral
AUUGAACGCUGGCGGUAGGCCUAACACAUGCAAGUCGAACGGUAACAGGUCUAGCUUGCUAGAUGCUGACGAGUGGCGGACGGGUGAGUAACGCGUGGGAAUCUGCCUUCUAGUGGGGGAUAGCCCGGAGAAAUCCGGAUUAAUACCGCAUACGCCCUACGGGGGAAAGCCGGGGAGUCUUCGGACCUGGCGCUAGUAGAUGAGCCCGCGUGAGAUUAGCUUGUUGGUGGGGUAAUGGCCUACCAAGGCAACGAUCUCUAGCUGGUCUGAGAGGACGAUCAGCCACACUGGGACUGAGACACGGCCCAGACUCCUACGGGAGGCAGCAGUGGGGAAUAUUGGACAAUGGGCGAAAGCCUGAUCCAGCAAUGCCGCGUGUGUGAAGAAGGCCUGAGGGUUGUAAAGCACUUUCAAUCGUGAAGAAAAGUUAGCAGGCUAAUACCCUGUGACCUUGACGUUAACGAUACAAGAAGCACCGGCUAACUCCGUGCCAG